Molecule: ribosomal RNA, 386 nt
Filed under: Theileria annulata
Lineage: Eukaryota; Apicomplexa; Aconoidasida; Piroplasmida; Theileriidae
Description: SSU rRNA
Rfam family: Eukaryotic small subunit ribosomal RNA
Source: RNAcentral
UCUUGUAAUUGGAAUGAUGGGAAUUUAAACCUCUUCCAGAGUAUCAAUUGGAGGGCAAGUCUGGUGCCAGCAGCCGCGGUAAUUCCAGCUCCAAUAGCGUAUAUUAAAAUUGUUGCAGUUAAAAAGCUCGUAGUUGAAUUUCUGCUGCAUUGCUUGUGUCCCUCUGGGGUCUGUGCAUGUGGCUUUUUUCGGACGGAGUUUCUUUGUCUGAAUGUUUACUUUGAGAAAAUUAGAGUGCUCAAAGCAGGCUUUCGCCUUGAAUAGUUUAGCAUGGAAUAAUAAAGUAGGACUUUGGUUCUAUUUUGUUGGUUUUAGGUACCAAAGUAAUGGUUAAUAGGAACAGUUGGGGGCAUUCGUAUUUAACUGUCAGAGGUGAAAUUCUUAGA